AAGGAAGUGGCAGAGUGGUUAUGUGGCUGGCUUGAAACCAGUUUAUGGGGGUUCAAUUCCUCCCUUCCUCG
Molecule: transfer RNA, 71 nt
Filed under: Pseudogastromyzon cheni
Lineage: Eukaryota; Metazoa; Chordata; Actinopteri; Cypriniformes; Gastromyzontidae
Also listed under: 6 other names
Description: tRNA-Ser
Rfam family: tRNA
About the family: Transfer RNA (tRNA) molecules are approximately 80 nucleotides in length. Their secondary structure includes four short double-helical elements and three loops (D, anti-codon, and T loops). Further hydrogen bonds mediate the characteristic L-shaped molecular structure. tRNAs have two regions of fundamental functional importance: the anti-codon, which is responsible for specific mRNA codon recognition, and the 3' end, to which the tRNAs corresponding amino acid is attached (by aminoacyl-tRNA synthetases). tRNAs cope with the degeneracy of the genetic code in two manners: having more than one tRNA (with a specific anti-codon) for a particular amino acid; and 'wobble' base-pairing, i.e. permitting non-standard base-pairing at the 3rd anti-codon position.
Source: RNAcentral